CUCCAUGGUUGUUAAUGCAUCCAUGUCUUUGCGACCAAACUUCAGGCGAUAACCCUGCAGCGGGCCAAAAGUUUCCACUGGAGGAUGCCACUGAAUUAGAGCCGUGUUCAUCUGUGUGUGGCUAAUCACAAGCCGAGUUCUCAGGAACCCAGCAAAUCAGAUUGCUAUUGUCAGAAGGUCUAACUACCAUUCCACAAUGAAUUAGGAGUAAGGAGGGAAGAAUGGCAUGCCUUGAAGAAAAUUCUGCAUUUAGUAAGCUCUUUCCUCAUUACAUCUGUUCUGAAAUCUGUAUUUCAAGAGUGCUGUCCAGUAUGAAAGCAAAAGACAAGUAAUGGACAAGCUAUUGCCCUAUGAGAUUCUUCAACUACUGUGAC
Molecule: long non-coding RNA, 374 nt
Organism: Passer domesticus (house sparrow)
Lineage: Eukaryota; Metazoa; Chordata; Aves; Passeriformes; Passeridae
Exons: 3
Source: RefSeq, a predicted model, not a curated record